Molecule: small RNA, 74 nt
Filed under: Arabidopsis thaliana (thale cress)
Lineage: Eukaryota; Viridiplantae; Streptophyta; Magnoliopsida; Brassicales; Brassicaceae
Description: ATSL168660
Source: RNAcentral
UUGUAUAUGGAUACGGAAUAUAACAAACUUGAUCUGCCUACGAUGCUGAAUACACAAAUUAUACAUAUUAAUAA